GAGAGAACGUAGCAAAAUGCGAUAAGUAAUGUGAAUUGCAGAAUUCAGUGAAUCAUCGAAUCUUUGAACGCACAUUGCGCCCGCUGGUAUUCCGGCGGGCAUGCCUGUUCGAGCGUCAUUUCAACCCUCAAGCCCCCGGGUUUGGUGUUGGGGAUCGGCUCUGCCCUUCUGGGCGGUGCCGCCCCCGAAAUACAUUGGCGGUCUCGCUGCAGCCUCCAUUGCGUAGUAGCUAACACCUCGCAACUGGAACGCGGCGCGGCCAUGCCGUAAAACCCCAACUUCUGAAUGUUGACCUCGGAUCAGGUAGGAAUACCCGCUGAACUUAAGCAUAUCAAUAAGCGGAGGA
This 346-nucleotide unclassified non-coding RNA is filed under the name soil metagenome. RNAcentral describes it as "partial contains 5.8S ribosomal RNA, internal transcribed spacer 2, and large subunit ribosomal RNA". The stretch from base 4 to 118 matches the Rfam family "5.8S ribosomal RNA", at positions 40 to 154 of the family's 154-position model. The record is from RNAcentral.